UACAGAGGGUGCAAGCGUUAAUCGGAAUUACUGGGCGUAAAGCGUGCGUAGACGGUUAUGUACGUCAGGUGUGAAAGCCCCGGGCUCAACCUGGGAAUGGCAUUUGAGACUGCAUAGCUAGGGUGCGGAAGAGGGAAGCGGAAUUUCCGGUGUAGCGGUGAAAUGCGUAGAUAUCGGAAGGAACAUCAGUGGCGAAAGCGGCUUCCUGGUCCAGCACCGACGUUCAGGCACGAAAGCGUGGGGAGCAAACAGG
RNAcentral lists this ribosomal RNA (253 nucleotides) under uncultured bacterium. Its description in RNAcentral is "partial 16S ribosomal RNA". It matches the Rfam family "Bacterial small subunit ribosomal RNA", at positions 524 to 776 of the family's 1533-position model. The record is from RNAcentral.